Molecule: ribosomal RNA, 440 nt
Filed under: uncultured bacterium
Lineage: Bacteria
Description: bacterial SSU rRNA
Rfam family: Bacterial small subunit ribosomal RNA
Source: RNAcentral
AGAGUUUGAUCCUGGCUCAGAAUCAACGCUGGCGGCGUGCCUAACACAUGCAAGUCGCACGAGAAAGGGGCUUCGGCUCUGAGUAAAGUGGCGCACGGGUGAGUAACACGUGACUAACCUACCUUCGAAUGGGGAAUAACUGAGAGAAAUCUUAGCUAAUACCGCAUAAUACCUACGGGUCAAAGCAGCAAUGCGUUUGAAGAGGGGGUCGCGGUCGAUUAGUUAGUUGGCGGGGUAAUGGCCCACCAAGACGAUGAUCGAUAUCCGGCCUGAGAGGGCGCACGGACACACUGGAACUGAAACACGGUCCAGACUCCUACGGGAGGCAGCAGUGGGGAAUUUUGCGCAAUGGGGGAAACCCUGACGCAGCAACGCCGCGUGGAGGAUGAAGUAUCUUGGUACGUAAACUCCUUUCGAUGGGGAAGAUUAUGACGGUACCC